RNAcentral lists this ribosomal RNA (500 nucleotides) under uncultured bacterium. RNAcentral describes it as "partial 16S ribosomal RNA". It matches the Rfam family "Bacterial small subunit ribosomal RNA", at positions 28 to 523 of the family's 1533-position model. The record is from RNAcentral.
GAUGAACGCUAGCGGCAGGCUUAAUACAUGCAAGUCGUGGGGCAGCAUGAGUAGCAAUACUUGAUGGCGACCGGCAAACGGGUGCGGAACACGUACACAACCUUCCGAUAAGUGGGGAAUAGCCCAGAGAAACUUGGAUUAAUACCCCGUAACAUAUAGAGUAGGCAUCUUCUUUAUAUUAUAGCUUCGGCGCUUAUUGAUGGGUGUGCGUCUGAUUAGGUAGUGGGCGGGGUAACGGCCCACCAAGCCUACGAUCAGUAGCUGAUGUGAGAGCAUGAUCAGCCACACGGGCACUGAGACACGGGCCCGACUCCUACGGGAGGCAGCAGUAAGGAAUAUUGGACAAUGGGCGAAAGCCUGAUCCAGCCAUGCCGCGUGAAGGAUUAAGGUCCUCUGGAUUGUAAACUUCUUUUAUUUGGGACGAAAAAAGGGAAUUCUUUCCCACUUGACGGUACCAAGUGAAUAAGCACCGGCUAACUCCGUGCCAGCCGCCGCAGUAA